AACCUCCGCAAUGUGAGAAAUCGCGACGGGGGGAUCCCAAGUGCCAUUCUUAACGGGAUGGCUUUUCAUUAGUGUAAAGAGCUUUUGGAAUAAGAGCUGGGCAAGACCGGUGCCAGCCGCCGCGGUAACACCGGCGGCUCUAGUGGUAGCAAUUUUUAUUGGGCCUAAAGCGUCCGUAGCCGGUUUAAUAAGUCUCUGGUGAAAUCCUGUAGCUUAACUGUGGGAAUUGCUGGAGAUACUAUUAGACUUGAGACCGGGAGAGGUUAGAGGUACUCCCAGGGUAGAGGUGAAAUUCUGUAAUCCUGGGAGGACCGCCUGUUGCGAAGGCGUCUAACUGGAACGGUUCUGACGGUGAGGGACGAAAGUUAGGGGCGCGAACCGGAUUAGAUACCCGGGUAGUCCUAACUGUAAACGAUGCGGACUUGGUGUUGGGGUGGCUUUGAGCUGCUCCAGUGCCGAAGGGAAGCUGUUAAGUCCGCCGCCUGGGAAGUACGGUCGCAAGACUGAAACUUAAAGGAAAU
Molecule: ribosomal RNA, 521 nt
Filed under: uncultured bacterium
Lineage: Bacteria
Description: bacterial SSU rRNA
Rfam family: Archaeal small subunit ribosomal RNA
Source: RNAcentral